This 253-nucleotide ribosomal RNA is filed under the name uncultured bacterium. Its description in RNAcentral is "partial 16S ribosomal RNA". It matches the Rfam family "Bacterial small subunit ribosomal RNA", at positions 524 to 776 of the family's 1533-position model. The record is from RNAcentral.
UACGUAGGGUGCGAGCGUUGUCCGGAAUUACUGGGCGUAAAGAGCUCGUAGGUGGUUUGUCGCGUUGUCCGUGAAAACUCACAGCUCAACUGUGGGCGUGCGGGCGAUACGGGCAGACUGGAGUACUGCAGGGGAGACUGGAAUUCCUGGUGUAGCGGUGAAAUGCGCAGAUAUCAGGAAGAGCACCAAUGGCGAAAGCAGCUCUCUGGGACGGUACUGACGCUGAGACGCGAAAGCGUGGGGAGCGAACAGG